This 19-nucleotide microRNA is filed under the name Corchorus olitorius. RNAcentral's name for it is "bmo-miR-27". Lineage: Eukaryota; Viridiplantae; Streptophyta; Magnoliopsida; Malvales; Malvaceae. The record is from RNAcentral.
UUGUCAUUUGAUUAGUGUU